GCAAUACUUCAUUCAAAAGAUAACUUUCUUUUUUAGGGAUUGACUUCUUUGACAUCCCGCUUCAAAGUUACAAAGAACAGACAUGUCUUUUAAACACUGUUUAGCUCAAACACCUCUAACAAAAAAUAUUUUUUCCUCCACAACUCAGGAAGCUGUAAGCCUCUGGUACAACAGUGCAGACAGGUUUACAUCCCAUCUGUAACAUGGAUUUUAAACCUAGCAGGGGAAGUGGAAGUAGACAAAAGGGUUGUAUCUGGGAGUAUCAGGGAGUGGAGCCUCUUAAGGGAGUAAGGCUUUUUAAAAGGUAAUUCCUUGAUGCUCUCGGUUCGGUACACCUCUCAUGGAUCGCUCAAGAUCAAAGGAUGACUCAAACAAACGUACCUUCAUCCAUCUAGUCUGGCCCUGAACAGCAGAACACACCAUCAAAUCUUCUGUUCCAGGUAGGCCCCCAUGGACCACUGAUCCACAGUACAUGGCUGAAGUCAAGGCAUUAUCCUUUAACUCACUUUUAGCCACAUUAAGGGCAUGGCGAAUUAGCAGAAAUUACUCCACUACCACCUAACGCAUCCCAGUGAGAGACUUGAAUCUGUAGGAUGCCAUCAUUCCUCUUCUCCCCGUGGACAGAAAGGCAGGCAACAGUGACCUGCACAGACUGAAGAAAAGAUGACGAGAGGACAGGGAGAUGGGUAUUAGUGAGAUGUCACUAUUCUGCUGUGGAGAACGAUAACAGAGACAACCUUAGAGUCUCUCACCAGUGGCUUGUUCACAUCUGGAACAACAGCCAUACGAGUCCUUUGAUUCUCCAUGUAAUACAAUUUAACAUUUCUUGGUGUCCCCUAUUUUAUUACUAUAUGAACAUCUAGUUCAGGGAUGGACACGUUUUGUAGGGCCUCCAUAAAACACCGCCCCCCACUGCAAAAGAAAAUAUAGAACUCAGUUUGGUCUUCAAUUUAAUAUAGAGAUUUUU
Molecule: long non-coding RNA, 967 nt
Organism: Esox lucius (northern pike)
Lineage: Eukaryota; Metazoa; Chordata; Actinopteri; Esociformes; Esocidae
Source: Ensembl